CUUCUGGAGGGAUAGCUUCAUGGAAUUUGCAGAUGUUACAGUCAGAAGGGCCCUUCAAUGCCAUCUUACCAAACCCCUUGUUUGACAGUAACCUGGGGACCCUCUGCACAUUCCUGAACUCACCUCUUUCCACGUCAAGAGCCCUAGCCUAUGCCAGUUGUCUAGAGCAGUGAGGAGGAGCAGCACCCAGAGAAAACCGGGAAGAGAACUGGG
This 213-nucleotide long non-coding RNA is filed under the name Suricata suricatta (meerkat). RNAcentral describes it as "lncRNA (ENSSSUG00005022029.1)". Lineage: Eukaryota; Metazoa; Chordata; Mammalia; Carnivora; Herpestidae. The record is from RNAcentral.